Nycticebus coucang (slow loris) is the source of this 104-nucleotide small nucleolar RNA. RefSeq annotates it as small nucleolar RNA U13. The record is from RefSeq and is a predicted model, not a curated record. Lineage: Eukaryota; Metazoa; Chordata; Mammalia; Primates; Lorisidae. The transcript has a single exon.
ACCCUUUUGUAGUUCAUGUGCUUGAUAAUUGGAGGUUCAUUUGCAUAUGUGAGAUCGUCUCCCUCAAACCUUGUUACCAGACAUGGGCAAAUACCCAUCUGACG